AUGUCCUCCCCAGGUGUGCUCACACAUGUCCUCCCCGGGUGUGCUCACACACGUCCUCCCCAGGUGUGCUCACACAUGUCCUCCCCAGGUGUGCUCACACACGUCCUCCCCGGGUGUGCUCAUGCAUGUCCUCCCCAGGUGUGCUCACACAUGUCCUCCCCAGGUGUGCUCACACAUGUCCUCCCCGGGUGUGCUCACGCAUGUCCUCCCUGGGUGUGCUCACACAUGUCCUCCUCGGGUGUGCUCACACAUGUCCUCCCCGGGUGUGCUCACACAUGUCCUCCCCGGGUGUGCUCACACAUGUCCUCCCCGGGUGUGCUCACGCAUGUCCUCCCCAGGUGUGCUCACACAUGUCCUCCCCAGGUGUGCUCACACAUGUCCUCCCCAGGUUUAGCUCACACAUGUCCUCUCCAGUUUAGCUCACACAUGUCCUCCCCAGGUGUGCUCACACAUGUCCUCCCCAGGUGUGCUCACAAUGUCCUCCCCAGGUGUUCUCACUCACCUUUGUUUUUGCUUGUUUCAUGCAGGAAGAAGCCUUCAUAGGGGAUUCACGCUGCCAAACAUGUUUCGGUGCAGGGGACGCUGUAUGCAGCUGCACACACAGUACUGCCCGGCCGGUCUCUGGACGUCACUCCUCCUGCAUAGCUGUGACUUUGAGCCCAGUGAGCGGCCGUUCCCCACGUCCCCUCCCUAGGACCCUCUCUGCUGCCCACUUCUGCGUUUGCGAUGCUUCGCGGAAGAGGAACCAGGCAGUGUCUGUGCUGCGGUGACGGACGUUCAGUUUGGAACAGGAUUCUCCAGAUCGGGCCGCGCUGCUCUUUCUUUCUCACGGAUUCCAUGUGCACCUGCACACGGCCUCGGGUUGUUCUCUUCUCUCGGGGACUGAGAGUGAUCCUUCAGUGAACACAGGAGUGCAGGAACGCGACGCCUUUUAGACGCUGGGGCCUGCUGUGUUAGCGUCCACAGUCACAUCAUCAGGCGGUUCCUAGGAGAGCCCAGUGGCGGCUGGAGCGCAUGUCCUAGGCCCCUGCCUUCCUGCCUCUGGGCUGCCAGGACGCCUGCCCACUUCUGCACUGUGCGGCUCAGUUUUCCAGGCUGGACACCAGUUCUCCUCUCAGCUACUUGGCGCCAUUGGCCUUUGACCUGUGCUGAUCAAAAGUGUUGCACAAAUACAAAUGUCACUCAGAACUGGGCGAUUCUACUGGAAACACAAAUUGGACAGCUCCCCGGUAUGAAUGUAGCCUGCGCACUCCUGUCUCAUCCUGACAGCACGCAUACUUGUUCCUGGGCCAUCAGGUUAGCCAUCAAAGCGCCCCAUCCACGCAGUUAUGUGUGUACUCGAUACACGAUAGCCACCAGAAGUUCAGUUUUGGCCAAAACGUGCUAAAGGCAUUUCUCCUAUCAGUAAGACAAGACCUUGGUCUUCUCAUCACAUCAGCUGGGAUGUCAAGCAUGCGUGCUGUUUGCUAUGAGAGAGAGGAAUGGUGAGAGAGAAAGAUCUCCCCUCUGCUCGUUUGCUCCAAGUCUCCCUGCAGCGGCUCAGGGUAGGCCAGGCCAGAGCCUGGAGCUGAGAAGCCAGUGUCAGUCUCCCACAGGGUGGUCGGGGCGCAGCCACUCGGGACACCACUGCCACCUCCACGACCUGCGUUAGCAGGGAGCUGGAGUCGGGAGCCGAGCUGGGUGCUGGACCCAGGGGCUCUGCGCUGGAGCGUGCUGUGUCCAGUGUCCACGCCAGGGGGAGCCGAGCCGUGAGACAUGUAGGCAGCCGAGUCUUUGUCAGGACAGCGGGUCUUUGGCGUGGUAGGCGGGGAUGGCAGGACUACCGGCGUGGAAGGGAUGACCGAGCCCACAUCACGCUGUUCUGCAAUGACAAUGACUUCAGAGCCUCCUGGAGUCUCCUGUUAAUUACUGGAUUUCAUAAACAAAGCAUUUCACCAGCAUAAUUCAUCGUGAGGCCGCAUUUAAUACCAUGCUAUAAAACAAAUCGAGUGCGCCUCUUGUUAAACACGCCUGGCAGCUUGAAAUAUUAACUCGACACACUGAGUCGAGCAGUUGAUUAAACAGGGGGGGUUAUUGAAUUACGCUUUUAUGAGGCACAUUAUGCGUAGAGAAAUAGAUCAUUUAUUAUGACGAACAUACCGUUUAUAAUGACACAUAUUGAUUUUAUUCUCGGAAUUUUCCACUUGACUUCUAAUCAUUGCAAUUUAUCACUUAGUUUGAUGAGUUUAAUCUUAAACAAAAAUUAGAUCCCAGCCUUCCCCCACCCCCAUUUAUUGGGGAUUGUUUAAGAAAUAAAGCGCAGAUUUCCAUUUUGGUGGCCUCUGUG
Molecule: long non-coding RNA, 2326 nt
Organism: Oryctolagus cuniculus (rabbit)
Lineage: Eukaryota; Metazoa; Chordata; Mammalia; Lagomorpha; Leporidae
Source: Ensembl